CUCAGACACCGGCUUAAAGACUUACAGGAAGUUGUCUGAGUGCAGCAUCCUUCCGGAGCAUUCCAGCAUUUCUAUUCUUAUACUUUUCUUGUCAAUAUAUAAUUCAGGAAGAAGCAGGACUUUCAUGGCAUUUUGGAUUUUCCAGGUAUUCAACUACAUUUUUACAGGAACCGCUCUUCUCUGUACUCUUAGUUCAUCAGUUUAGAUGUUAUUAACUAAAUUGCAUAAUCGUCAUUGCAAGUGCGGCUGUCAGCAACACCUGACACUCAGUGCCACCCAGCUCAGCUGCCAACAGCCGAAGGGGACGGGUCUCCAUGAGGGCUGCUAACUACCAUGUGGCCUCUGAGAAGAUUUUCCAUCAAGGGGAGAGCACACUUUACUCUGCACAUAUCAAGCAGAACAUGGUCAAGACUGACUCUAAAGACACUUAUUUCCUGCCUCAGAACAAAUUCAAAUGGCAAAUUUAACUUUGGGUUAGAAAAAAUGUGGCCUGCAACCACCGAUUGCUGCCAUCUGAAUCGUCCAAACGGUCCUCGGGAAAACCAAUGCUCAUUUGAUUGAUUUCUCCUGGUACCAAGACAGAUUAUGAUUCAUUGGCAAGAUGUCCCCUGCAGUUUGUAGAAUAUUUUCAAGCAAUGAUCAUGCUGAGGAGGCCUCUGGGUCCAAAGACAGUUUCUAAACGAUAUAUCAUGAGCUUUGUUGCUGAGCAAAGACUGCAUUUUGAGAUCUGCGAGCUCUGCUUGCUCCUGGCUUAAGCAGGACGAAGAACCUCAGCCAAUUUCACCAAAAUCAGCCCCAGGCUUUGACCUUUUCCACAAACUGCAGUUCUGAACUUUUGCUGCACUUGGGAAGUAGAAUUCCCUUGUCAUGGUUUAUGUCUGUGUCCCCCAGGCCUCAUAAGUUUGCAUUGUGCAUUUGUGAUGCUUCAUUGUCUAGUGCUUGGAUUGAUGAUGUCAGUGCUCCACCCACAUAGGGGUGGAGCCAGGAUGUGAUGUAAUGGCAGGAAGAAGGUGUGUCUUGCUCUUUGCUGGUUCCUGCUUGCUGCUGGCAGCAGCCAUGAAGUGUGGCCCAGCCAUGCCCACCUGCCUUGGAGCCAACAGAGUAUGGACUGAAACCUCCAAAACCUGUAAGAAAUAAACCUUUCCUUUCCCAGGUUUGGGCUGCAGGUGUUUUGUCUCAGCGACGAGUAAAAAAUAACUAAGACACCCCUCCUCACUAAACAUGGCAGUUUUUGCAGGAA
Long non-coding RNA from Cavia porcellus (domestic guinea pig), 1240 nucleotides. Lineage: Eukaryota; Metazoa; Chordata; Mammalia; Rodentia; Caviidae. The record is from Ensembl.